CUCACUGCCACUACCCAGCAUCAUGAGAGAUCCUCCAGCUCAUCCCCAGCCCAGGAAAAGGUUUCCCGAUAGCGGGUAUUCUGUGAGAACACUCAGCGGAGAAGCCCGGAUGAUGAAGUGCUGGAGCGCCAUCUUGGAAGUGGAUCCCAGCCAGUCCAGCCUUCCGGUCGUCCAGCCCCAGCCAACAUGGGCUGCUACCCCAUGAGCAACCAUAGAGCCAGAAGACCCAGCUGCACCUCUCCCCUGACCUAUGAAAAUUAUGAAAUAAUAAACCAGUACAUUUGGGAGUUAUGCAGAAAGAGUUAUUUCCCCUGCUGAAAAUUUCCCAAAGGUGUGGUCUUCCUACAAGAUGGACUCAGCUUCUUUCCCUCUUGGUGUCAUCAAGGAUUACAAUGCAUGCCUCUUGCAUCUCUUUUGAGGAGGCAGAAGCCACCCCAACUGGCACUUACAGAUCAUCCACAGCACUCAGAAGAAGAUGAGAAAGUUGCUGGUAUAUUUCAGCUUGCUUCAUUAAAAACAACUCU
This is a long non-coding RNA of Fukomys damarensis (Damara mole-rat), 524 nucleotides long. RefSeq lists it as uncharacterized. The record is from RefSeq and is a predicted model, not a curated record. The transcript is spliced from 3 exons. NCBI's taxonomy places the organism in Eukaryota, Metazoa, Chordata, Mammalia, Rodentia, Bathyergidae.